RNAcentral lists this ribosomal RNA (439 nucleotides) under uncultured bacterium. RNAcentral describes it as "bacterial SSU rRNA". It matches the Rfam family "Bacterial small subunit ribosomal RNA", at positions 954 to 1392 of the family's 1533-position model. The record is from RNAcentral.
GCAUAACGCGAAGAACCUUACUUAAACUUGACAUCCCUCGGACCGCUCCUUAAUCGGAGCUUUCCCUUCGGGGACUGAGAUGACAGGUGGUGCAUGGUUGUCGUCAGCUCGUGUCGUGAGAUGUUGGGUUAAGUCCCGCAACGAGCGCAACCCUUGCCUUUAGUUGCCAUCAUUAAGUUGGGCACUCUAGAGGGACUGCCGAGGAUAACUCAGAGGAAGGUGGGGAUGACGUCAAAUCAUCAUGCCCCUUAUGUUUAGGGCUACACACGUGCUACAAUGGCUGGUACAGAGGGCUGCGAAACCGUGAGGUUAAGCCAAUCCCUUAAAGCCAGUCUCAGUUCGGAUUGUAGGCUGAAACUCGCCUACAUGAAGCUGGAGUUGCUAGUAAUCGCGGAUCAGAAUGCCGCGGUGAAUGCGUUCCCGGGUCUUGUACACACCG